CAUGCAAGUCGAACGCGAAAGUCCCUUCGGGGGAUGAGUAGAGUGGCGAACGGGUGAGUAACACGUGAGUAACAACCCUCCGGUGGGGGACAAGCGCGGGAAACCGGGGCUAAUACCGCAUACGCCGGGAGAAUCGCAUGUUCUCCNCGAGAAAGCGGGCCUCUACUUGUAAGCUCGUGCCGGAGGACGAGCUCGCGGCCGAUUAGCUAGUUGGCGGUGUAACGGCCCACCAAGGCGAUGAUCGGUAGCUGGUUUGAGAGGAUGGUCAGCCACACUGGGAUUGAGAUACGGCCCAGACUCCUACGGGAGUGCAGCAGUCUAGAAGCUUCGGCAAUGGGGGCAACCCUGACCGAGCGACGCCGCGUGCGGGAUGACGGCCUUCGGGUUGUAAACCGCUUUCGACAGGGAAGAAGGACUUUCGGGUUAAUACCCCGGGAGUUUGACGGUACCUGGAGAAGAAGCCUCGGCUAAUUCCGUGCCAGCAGCCGCGGUAAUACGGGGGAGGCAAGCGUCAAUCGGAUUUAUUUGGGCGUAAAGGGCGUGGAGGCCGGUUUCUUAAGUCGGGUGUUACAGACCACGGCUCACCCGUGGGGCUGCGCUCGAUACUGAGAGGCUUGAGU
This 620-nucleotide ribosomal RNA is filed under the name uncultured organism. RNAcentral describes it as "bacterial SSU rRNA". It matches the Rfam family "Bacterial small subunit ribosomal RNA", at positions 54 to 647 of the family's 1533-position model. The record is from RNAcentral.